This 451-nucleotide ribosomal RNA is filed under the name uncultured bacterium. RNAcentral describes it as "partial 16S ribosomal RNA". It matches the Rfam family "Bacterial small subunit ribosomal RNA", at positions 29 to 523 of the family's 1533-position model. The record is from RNAcentral.
AACGAACGCUGGCGGCAGGCUUAACACAUGCAAGUCGAACGGUUGUAGCAAUACAGCAGUGGCGCACGGGUGAGUAACGCGUGGGAAUAUACCGAGAAGUGGGGAAUAACUCCGGGAAACUGGAGAUAAUACCGCAUACGCCCGAGAGGGGAAAGAUUUAUCGCUUUUCGAUUAGCCCGCGUGAGACUAGGUAGUUGGUGGGGUAAUGGCCUACCAAGCCGACGAUCUCUAGCUGGUCUGAGAGGAUGAUCAGCCACACUGGAACUGAGACACGGUCCAGACUCCUACGGGAGGCAGCAGUGGGGAAUAUUGGACAAUGGGCGAAAGCCUGAUCCAGCCAUGCCGCGUGAAUGAUGAAGGCCUUAGGGUUGUAAAGUUCUUACGCCGAUGAAGAUAAUGACGGUAGUCGGAGAAGAAGCCCCGGCUAACUUCGUGCCAGCCGCCGCCGUAA